Molecule: ribosomal RNA, 465 nt
Filed under: uncultured bacterium
Lineage: Bacteria
Description: partial 16S ribosomal RNA
Rfam family: Bacterial small subunit ribosomal RNA
Source: RNAcentral
GACGAACGCUGGCGGCGUGCUUAACACAUGCAAGUCGAACGGAAAGGCCCCUUUGGGGGUACUCGAGUGGCGAACGGGUGGGUAACACGUGAGUAACCUGCCCUUGACUUCGGGAUAAAUUCAGGAAACUGGGGCUAAUACCGGAUAGGAAUCCUUGCUGCAUGGUGGGGGUUGGAAAGCUUCGGCGGUUUUGGGUGGACUCGCGGCUUAUCAGCUUGUUGGUGGGGUAGUGGCUUACCAAGGCUUUGACGGGUAGCCGGCCUGAGAGGGCGACCGGCCACAUUGGGACUGAGAUACGGCCCAGAGUCCGAAGGGAGGAAGCAGGGGGGAAGAUUGAACGAUGGGCGGAAGCCUGAUGCAGCAAGGCCGCGGGCGGGAGGACGGCCUUCGGGUUGUAAACCGCUUUCAGCAGGGGCGAAGCUUGUGGUGACGGUACCUGCAGAAGAAGCACCGGCUAACUACGUG